GUGGCUAUGGUGUAAUGGUAACACAGGGGUUUGUGGUACCCUUAUCGAGGGUUCGAUUCCCUCUAGCCACC
This 71-nucleotide transfer RNA is filed under the name Parcubacteria group bacterium. RNAcentral's name for it is "tRNA-His". It matches the Rfam family "tRNA". From Rfam's summary of the family: Transfer RNA (tRNA) molecules are approximately 80 nucleotides in length. Their secondary structure includes four short double-helical elements and three loops (D, anti-codon, and T loops). The record is from RNAcentral.